GACAUUGGGGGCGUCCGGCCAAGUUCGGCUUCCUUAGCAGCGGGGAGCUUGGCCAGAGGUCUGCAGCUGCCGGGUUCUGGCCUCGGAGGUCGCGGGUUCUGCUAUCCCGAUUCGGUUGUGGCGGUCACGAUGUUUUUUUCUGAGGCUGGGGCCCGACCACGGACGUGGGAAGCCAGCCCCUCAGAACACAAGAAGUGGGUGAAAGUGUUUAAAGCAUGCGAUGAAGAUAACAAAGGCUAUCUAAGCAGAGAGGACUUUAAAGUGGCUGUUGUAAUGCUGUUUGGGUACAAGCCCACCAAGAUAGAAGCUGAUUCUGUGAUGUCUUCAGUAAAUCCAAACACUUCUGGCCUAUCACUUGAGGAGUUUUUAAGUAUUGUAAGAAAAAAGAAGGAAGUUCAACUCCAUCGGAACGAGAUAAGACACAUCUUCACAGCUUUUGACAGGCACUACCGUGGAUAUUUAACAUUGGAAGAUUUCAAGAAAGCAUUUAGGCAGGUGGCUCCCAAGUUAUCAGAACGGACCAUUCUGGAGGUAUUCAGGGAUAGCAAAUUGUUGGCAGGAGAGUCAGCAUCUUCUCCUGGACCCACGGCCUGUACUCAUCUGAGGGGCCUCAGAACUUUUGGCAUCACACCCUAAGCCAGUUCCUCAGCAUUGUCACACGCGAUCAGAUCAACUUGCUCUCUGUCAUCGUUGUACCAAAACUUUCCUUCUGCUCUGCAGGUGAAUGGGGAACUGAAGCCUUUCAUUUGACUUGUGAUCUUCUACAUUCUGGAAGCUCAUACAUGUAAUCGUGGAACAAAUAAAGCAGCUGGAGAAAAUCUUCCCUGAACAAAACCCAAGUGGGGCAUUUGGGUGAGAGCCAAGAUUCCAGCAGCUACAGAGGGAGAUGUGAAAAGGCUGCCUAUAUUACAGCACUAACAAAUCACUUCUAGCCCGAUAGGAAUGUCCUUUAAGUAAUGAUCAGAUAGAGGGUAGGGACCUUUACACAUUUAACUGCCUGACCACAAAAUAAAGUGUUUACUGUAACCUUCCAAGGUCUCUCCACCAAGUUAAUUACUGUGAUCCACCUGAAGGGACAGCAGCAUUGUGAGUGACUCAAUGGGCUCAGCGUAAAUGGAAAUUCUGAAGCUGCUUAGUCUGAGCCUGGCCUCCCACUAAACUGCUGCGGGGUGCUAGGCAAGACACUGUGCCUGUAACUUCCUGGGGUUCCGCUCCUCCAACCAAAAUUCAGAACUGUGACGCACAGUUAGCUACUAAACGAUAGCUGAUAAUAAUAAAUGAAGCCCUAUGUUAACUGUCUCAUUUGGAGGAGAAAGUUUAUUGUCCAAAGUGAUCCAAUAGUUAAGUAAAAUUUCACUGGACAUUUUGAAAAGGUUGGUUACUCAUUUUGUUUACGAACAUACAAAUGUGUGUGGACUGACAUCAACAAAAGCAAAAGCUUGGAAUGAAUGUAGGUCUUAAAGAAACGUAAAGGAGCAUUCCAGGUUCCUCACCAUCAGUUCAUUCAGCCAACAUUACCGAUUCCCUGGAGCAGUGCUUCUCAAACCUUAGGUGCGUAAGAGACACCUGGAGGGCUUUUUAAACAUCCUUCCUGGGGCCCAUCUUCGUAGUUUCUGCCUCAGUAGAUAGUGUGGUGGGGCCUGAAAAAUGUGCAUAUGUCACAAGCUCGCAAGGAAUAUUGACACUGCAGGUGUGCAAACCAUACUUUGGGUCUGGAGACACUCCAAACGCCCGAGUGAAGAAGACGCAGUCAUAUCCAUAAGGCAGAUAGGAUUAACAGGAAUACUUUGCAGUGUGAGUAGCUGCUUUGUAUUACUGGGUGUGCGUGCAUGUGUGUGUUUUAAAGGCAUCUCAGGGAAUGCAGGUCGUACAGAGGUACAGAGAACUGAAACCACAUGACGUGUUCAGGGACAUAGAGUUUGCGUCCCUGGAGCAAGGAGCUCAAGGCUGGCCAGUGGGUGACCGGGGAGAAGGGGGUGAAGGGGAAAGUGCAGCAAGAGGGAUGCCAAGAACUAGGUAAGGCUCUGAUCACAACACGUCUGUGUCCCAUAAGGAAUCUGGUUGUUUCUUUAACCUGGUAACAAAGGAAAUGAAAAAGACAAAAAUCUGAAGAAUCAGAAAAGAUUUCAAGGAGGAAGAGUUAACAAUAGCAUAGAAUUUGGCCAAAUAUAAUUUAGUCAACCCAAUAAUCUUGCUGAAAUCACACUGCCGUUGAAAGUGAACCUCUCUGGAGUCUGGUUUCUUCCAUUCUGGUGGUUUUUUGUCCACCAUGUGAUGAUUUCUGUGGUCUUAAAAGUUACCCAUUUUUCAUUAUUUUCCAAGCUCUUUUUCUAUCCAAUGAAUGGGCAGCCAGUCCAGAAUUGUUUACAGUAGUGAACAAUUGAAACACGAAGACAUUAACAAUAAAAAUAUCUUACAGAAAUAGGCUUUUUUUUUUAUUAUAGAAGCAAUGCAUGCUUACUAUAGAAACUAUAGACCAAAGGGGGGGAAAAAACCCUCACAUAAUCACACCUGUUAUUUAGAAAAUCACUGCUAAAACCCCUGGAGACUAAGUUCCCAGAUCCUUUUCUAUAUCCGUGUGCACUCUUUGCUAUUGAAAUAGGGUCAUACCAUAUGUUGUGAAAAACUAGCAAAAUGUGUUGAAGCAGUCUGCCAGUCGUUGGACGCGUACAAAAUUCCACCUUAAUUCUCGCUGUUUGACAUUUAGUUUGUUGAGUAUCCCCCGUGGCGGUUCCCUACUCAGAAAGAUGAGGAAGAGGAGUCAGCCAGGCAGAGAUGAUGGGGUGGACAGAAGGACAUUCCAGGCCCGAGCGGAGACCGGGAGGCGAGGAGGUGUUGGCCCCCGAGGAAUGGGAAGUUUCCUGUGUACCUGGAGCCCAGACAGGGAAGACCAAGAGGCCUGGAGGCUGCAGAGGCUGUGACCUUACCACCAACAGCCUCUGCUUGGACGUCCUGGACAAUAAUUGGCCAGAAGUAAGUCACUCAGGAAGAGAGUAGAACAGAGAAAAUGUGUGUAGCCGAUCGCUGAAUGGUAUUCUUUUUAGUCACGUCGUUUUAACACGUUGUUUUCACCAACGUCAUUCUGACUAAGUUGUUUCUGGCAAAUUGCUUUCAGUCAAACUAUCUUGAUCCAAAUGAACAGGAUUCGGGGCCUCGCUGGAACCAACGGUGUGCCAGAGCCGGCCCAUGCGGGCUCCCAUGCCAGUUCUGCCCAUCUUUGCUCAGCUCACAUUCAGUGACAUCGCCUUGGGAGCUGGAAAUCAGCAAGUGUUACAAAUCAGGGAAUUUUCUCCCAUGAACACCAGUUCCCCAGCACACGACAUAGCCGAGAGAGACGGGAAGAAGCCCAAAAUAAAGGUCUUGGGUUUUGGCCUGGGACUCGGACACUGAUGUGGUUUACCAGAGCGAGGAAGCAUUAACUUUGGAGUCAGAAGGGCCAGGGUUUGAAUCGUAACUGUCGUUUUCCGUCACUUCCAGCAGAGUAAUUAACUUCUCUAAACCUCAGUUGUUUCAUAUAUAUAUAUAUAUAUAUAUAUAUAUAUGAAAUAGGGUCACUAAUAUUUAACUUACAGAUCAGUUGUCAAAAUGUAUCCUUGAGAGACAGAAGCUAUUAUGAUGAUUACUGUAAUGAAGGAGGAGCAUGAGGGCAUUAAGUUGAUUUUGUAAUUUGAGUUGAAGUUUGAGUUCCUUUGGGAGUUUUGGGUAGAGAAUCCUGUAAUAACAACAAUCGCUAACGUUAUGGAGUGUUAAUUAUAUGCUUCUCCGUGCAUUAUUUAAUUUAAUCCCCAAGAGAACUCUAGAGGUGGAUACCAGCGAUAUAAUUACCCCAUUCUGUAGUUGAGGAGCCUGAGGUUUAAGUGAAGUCACUUUCUCAUGGCUGGAUGGCUGGUCAGUGCAGAGACAGGAGUUGGAAUGCAGGUUUACCUGAGUUCAGAGUCUGCCUUCUUAACCAGUGUGCAUAUGGGGUCUCCAGUCAGCGGAGACGUCUAAGGUCCACGGUAUCAGUUUCUGAAUCCUAUGAGUUGUGGAAGUCUUAGCUUUGAAUGCGGUCACACUGCAAGGGUCUCUAGAGUGAGAAGAAUGCGAUGCAGCCUGGAUAUGGAAAAGGGAAAUACCCUUUAGAAGAGGAAGCAGUGUCAGCAGUUGGACAUGCCAAUUAAAGAGGAUUCCUUGGAUUUGGUGAUAUGACCAACCUCAAGAAAAGCAGUUUGGAUAAGAUCAUGGAAACAGAGGCCAGCUUGCUUUUUGGGUUAAGGAGUGAAUUGAUGAGGAGGAAGUGGAGGGAACUGGUAUAAGACUAUUUUUGAAGACGAAGAUGCUAGAGAAGAAUUUGGAAUCUGGAGAGAUAUUUCAUAACGUAGAUGUGUUGGGAAGAAAUAAUACGUAGAAGUGGAGGCAGAGGAAUAUGACCGAAGGAGCCAAGUCCCUUAAGAGGCGGGUGGAAUGGGAUCCAAAACCUGUCUGAGGAACUAUGACUGGAUCAGUACUGGGUUUGGGCUUUAUAGGUUGGGUGGGCUAGAAGAAGGAGCAGGUGGAGGGUUGAGGAUAAUGGUCCAUAUAACUAACGGCAUGGCACCAUAGACUCUAGGCCAACUAGAGAAAAAGUAAAACCAGACAGGUACUUGAAGACUAAGAGAAUGUAGAAUGGUCAGGGUCCUAGGAGACUCAAAAGAUGCUGAAAGAACUUGAGAAUCAAAGAGCAAUAGAGCUGUAGGAGUGGGGAGCUGUAUACAGUGGAUUGGAUCUUGACACUGGAUAGUUCAUACGUAGAGAAGUUCUAUGUCAUCGACAAGGCCCCUGGUCCAGCGUGGAAGGCCAGUCUUUGAAGCAGAGUAGAGAUGAAGUUUAUCAAAAUUGGGGAGAUCAAGGGACUCUAGGCCUAGAGUUCUGACUGAGACCUGACACCGGCUGGUAUCCUCCCGACUCUUCACCCAACAAGACUGUAUCUUCUCAUAAUUCUUUGUUAGGAAUCCAGAUGUUUAUGCCUAGAGAUGUGCCUCCCAGUGAGGGUGUAAAUCCUGCUGAUGGAGAGCCGCGUGGCGUGUUCUUUAAUUGGUGCCCGAGAGAUCUGAUAGAAUCUUCUUUUUCUCAGGAUCCUCUCCCUGGGAUUGGUAGCAAAAGAAUAUAAAAGUCCUAGAUCUGUUUCUUCUCCUUCUAGGAGAUGCACAGCUUAUGCUUUCAGAAGAAUAAUGUGAAUAAUAAUAGCUGUCAUUUGUUAAGCACCUGCUACAUGCCAGCUACUAUGCUAAGCACCUUAUGUAGAUGGUAUCUUUACAGCCUUAGAACAACUCUCCGAGAUGAACACAGAUUAGAAAACUCCUUUGCCCAGGGUCACUCAGCCUAUAAAUGAUGGGGCCAAUAUUCAAACCCAGGUGGUCUGCCUCUACAACUCAAGACCCUCACUAUGCAAAACUGCCUCUCGAUGUCUCGGAGACCCAGGUCAGCCUCAUGUAGGACAUCAGUAUAUUCCUGUUUAUGAAGGAAUGGGAAACUAGCCACCCUUGAGAUCCCUUGUCCUUGUCCCAUAGACACACCAUUGGACUAGGGCUCCUGACUGGCCUCUAUCUCUCCAUCUUCAGCCUGCUUCUCCAUGGAAUACACCUCACAUGCCUUUGAGCAACCAUCACCCCAUAAAUCUCUGCUUUCCUACAACAGUGCCCCUCGCUGACAGGGGCAGAGAGAGAUAUCUUCCCAAAGCCCCUUGAGGUUAAGCCUCUGGGCUCAUUUUGAAGAGAGCUGAGCAAUGACAUGAAAGGCAUUUCAUUCUAUCACUGACUCUUAGAAAUAUUGGAGGUUUGUUUCACACAGAUACAUUACUGUGAUAGAGCUUGGCUGUUCAAAGUACAAGGAAGCCUUAGUUCAAGAAUGCUCAGAAAAGGAAUAUAAGAGGUAUGCCAAGAGAAGAAAGCAUUUCUUUUGUAAUGAUAAAAAAUGAUUUGUUCAAUGGGACAGACCUCCUGGAAAAUCAUAUUAAUUUGCUUCUAAA
Molecule: RNA transcript, 5986 nt
Organism: Felis catus (domestic cat)
Lineage: Eukaryota; Metazoa; Chordata; Mammalia; Carnivora; Felidae
Gene: EFCAB11
Gene name: EF-hand calcium binding domain 11
Exons: 7
Source: RefSeq, a predicted model, not a curated record